CCUACGGGAGGCAGCAGUAGGGAAUUUUCCACAAUGGACGAAAGUCUGAUGGAGCAACGCCGCGUGAGUGAAGAAGGGUUUCGGCUCGUAAAGCUCUGUUGGUAGUGAAGAAAGAUAGAGGUAGUAACUGGCCUUUAUUUGACGGUAAUUACUUAGAAAGUCACGGCUAACUACGUGCCAGCAGCCGCGGUAAUACGUAGGUGGCAAGCGUUGUCCGGAUUUAUUGGGCGUAAAGGGAGUGCAGGCGGUUCAAUAAGUCUGAGGUGAAAGCCUGCGGCUCAACCGGAGAAUUGCAUCAGAUACUGUUGGACUAGAGUGCAGUAGAGGUGAGUGGAACGCAAGGUGUAGCGGUGGAAUGCUUAGAGA
Molecule: ribosomal RNA, 366 nt
Filed under: uncultured bacterium
Lineage: Bacteria
Description: partial 16S ribosomal RNA
Rfam family: Bacterial small subunit ribosomal RNA
Source: RNAcentral